AACGUAGGUGGCGAGCGUUAUCCGGAAUUACUGGGCGUAAAGCGUGUGCAGGCGGGCGGGUAAGUGGGGUAUGAAAUAUCCCGGCUCAACCGGGAAGGGUUAUGCCAGACUGUCCGUCUUGAGUGCGAGAGAGGAGCGUGGAAUUCCGGGUGUAGUGGUGAAAUGCGUAGAUAUCGGGAGGAACACCAGUGGCGAAGGCGACUACCUGGCCUGUUCUUGACGCUGAGGCGCGAAAGCUAGGGGAGCAAACGGG
Molecule: ribosomal RNA, 253 nt
Filed under: uncultured bacterium
Lineage: Bacteria
Description: partial 16S ribosomal RNA
Rfam family: Bacterial small subunit ribosomal RNA
Source: RNAcentral